CACCCAACAGCUAGCCCCCCUCCCCAAAUACAACAAGACAACAUAAAUAAACCCAAACACACCAAACAACGAAAAACAAACCAUUUUUCCCCCUUAGUAUGGGCGACAGAAAAGGAC
Molecule: ribosomal RNA, 117 nt
Filed under: Hemieleotris latifasciata
Lineage: Eukaryota; Metazoa; Chordata; Actinopteri; Gobiiformes; Eleotridae
Description: partial 16S rRNA
Source: RNAcentral